UUAAAUAAAGUCACAUGCUUACCAAAUCAAUAGCAAUCGAACUUGCACGAUAAGGAUUUCCCCAAACCAAACUUGAAAUACUUGAAUUGGAAAGUAGACGAAGAAAAACAAAAGAAAGAAAACCCAAAGAAAAAGAAGAACUAAUUGAUUUUUAGGAGAGAUAGGAAAAAUAAAAUAAAAAAUAAUCAAAAAGAUUAUCCCAACUCCCCAUUAUCCCACUAACUAACAAAUCCUCCCAAAAUCGACCCACUAUUCUCAUCCACUACCAC
Molecule: long non-coding RNA, 269 nt
Filed under: Gossypium raimondii (Peruvian cotton)
Lineage: Eukaryota; Viridiplantae; Streptophyta; Magnoliopsida; Malvales; Malvaceae
Description: long non-coding RNA (GRAI_LNC003007)
Source: RNAcentral